This 148-nucleotide small nuclear RNA is filed under the name Carlito syrichta (Philippine tarsier). RNAcentral describes it as "U2 spliceosomal RNA (ENSTSYG00000033765.1)". The stretch from base 1 to 124 matches the Rfam family "U2 spliceosomal RNA". Rfam says of the family: U2 is a small nuclear RNA (snRNA) component of the spliceosome (involved in pre-mRNA splicing). Complementary binding between U2 snRNA (in an area lying towards the 5' end but 3' to hairpin I) and the branchpoint sequence (BPS) of the intron results the bulging out of an unpaired adenosine, on the BPS, which initiates a nucleophilic attack at the intronic 5' splice site, thus starting the first of two transesterification reactions that mediate splicing. Lineage: Eukaryota; Metazoa; Chordata; Mammalia; Primates; Tarsiidae. The record is from RNAcentral.
AUCGCUUCUCGGCCUUUUGGCUAAGAUCAAGUAUAGUACCUUUUCCUGUCAGUUUAAUAUCUGGUACAUCCUCUACCCGAGGACAAUAUAUAUAUAUAUAUUUUGAGUUGGAGUCUCACUCUGUCACCCAGACUGGAGUGCAGUGNNN